RNAcentral lists this ribosomal RNA (332 nucleotides) under uncultured eukaryote. RNAcentral describes it as "partial 18S ribosomal RNA". It matches the Rfam family "Eukaryotic small subunit ribosomal RNA", at positions 1470 to 1796 of the family's 1831-position model. The record is from RNAcentral.
CCCUUAGAUGUUCUGGGCCGCACGCGCGCUACACUGAUGCAUUCAACGAGUUUUUCCUGGUCCGAGAGGAAUGGGUAACCUUUUGAAAGUGCAUCGUGCUAGGGAUAGACUAUUGCAAUUAUUGGUCUUCAACGAGGAAUUCCUAGUAGACGUAGUUCAUCAGACUGCAUCGAUUACGUCCCUGCCCUUUGUACACACCGCCCGUCGCUCCUACCGAUUGGAUGGUUUAGUGAGGCCCUCGGAUCGGCCCCGCCGGGGUCGGCCCACGGCCCUGGCGGAGCGCUGAGAAGACGGUCGAACUUGACUAUCUAGAGGAAGUAAAAGUCGUAACA